This 292-nucleotide ribosomal RNA is filed under the name uncultured eukaryote. Its description in RNAcentral is "partial 18S ribosomal RNA". It matches the Rfam family "Eukaryotic small subunit ribosomal RNA", at positions 6 to 269 of the family's 1831-position model. The record is from RNAcentral.
GGUUGAUCCUGCCAGUAGUCAUAUGCUUGUCUUAAAGAUUAAGCCAUGCAUGUCUAAGUGUAAAUGAACUAUACACAGUGAAACUGCGAAUGGCUCAAUAAAACAGUUAUAGUUUACUCGAUGAUGUCUUGUUACCUGGAUAACUGCAGUAAUUCUGGAGCUAAUACAUGCACAAAGCGGGGACCGGGGCAACCUGGGAGUCGCGUAUUUAUUAGAGCAAAGACCGUCUGCGGCUGGGGGGGCAACCUCCUGGACGCAUCUACGAACGGUGAACCAUGGUAACUUCACGGAU